GACAGUGGGGAGAUCAUUUCUUGUUUGAACUGAAUCCAUUGUGUAAGUAUCCACUUUCUCUACCUUGAGGGAGAUGAAAGUUCUAGCUAUAUUAAUAAAACUGACCUGGUUUUCUUUCUCUAGGAAUCAAGACAGAGGGAUUGUACCGUACCGUGGGCAGCAAUAUUCAGGUUCAGAAGCUGCUGAAUGCCUUUUUUGUUUGCAAGGGACUUGGAAAGGAUCAAGUUGAGUCCAUUUGAUGUCCAGUGACAGCACUGGGAAGACGUGACAACACAGGCUGGAAAAGAAAAAUUUACACAAGUGAGGAUUUUUUUUAAUUGUGAAAAAAUGGAAGAAAUAAAAAUCA
RNAcentral lists this long non-coding RNA (346 nucleotides) under Capra hircus (goat). RNAcentral describes it as "lncRNA (ENSCHIG00010018008.1)". The record is from RNAcentral. Lineage: Eukaryota; Metazoa; Chordata; Mammalia; Artiodactyla; Bovidae.